Molecule: long non-coding RNA, 213 nt
Filed under: Zea mays
Lineage: Eukaryota; Viridiplantae; Streptophyta; Magnoliopsida; Poales; Poaceae
Description: long non-coding RNA NONZMAT001126
Source: RNAcentral
UUUUUUUUUUUUUUUUGUUUGUACUAGGGGGGCACCGCACUACAAUACGAGCGACAGUGUUUCUUUGGCCCGCAUGCACCCACCAAUCAUGGGUUUCCGUUCGGACUCGGUAUGGCUGAUUGCAACGAGACACCGGAAACCUGGAUUCCGGCCGGGUGCAGUGCAGACGACGCAUGCGUGGCAUGGGUUUCCGAUGAGCUUUGGCAAGCGGAG